ACGGACAAGUACAUCACAAGCAGCAACAGUGCGAACUUUCCCCACACCACUCUGUCCAUGUGCCUCAGUGCUUAUCUGGAGGGAUCACCUCUAGA
This 95-nucleotide small RNA is filed under the name Nomascus leucogenys (northern white-cheeked gibbon). RNAcentral's name for it is "TUC338 (ENSNLEG00000030201.1)". The record is from RNAcentral. Lineage: Eukaryota; Metazoa; Chordata; Mammalia; Primates; Hylobatidae.